Molecule: ribosomal RNA, 1393 nt
Filed under: metagenome
Description: bacterial LSU rRNA
Rfam family: Bacterial large subunit ribosomal RNA
Source: RNAcentral
UUAGGGAGUUACGGUAGGCAAAUCCGCUGUAACAAUUCUGAGGCGUGAUGGGGAAGGCCAUAUAGGCCGAAGUACAUGAUUCCAUGCUUCCAAGAAAAGCAUCUAGAGAGAGAAGUAGUGCCCGUACCGCAAACCGACACAGGUAGAUGAGGAGAGAAUCCUAAGGCCGGCGGAAGAAUUGCAGUUAAGGAACUAGGCAAAUUGACCCCGUAAGUUCGCGAGAAGGGGUGCCUGCGAGAGCAGGCCGCAGAGAAUAGGCCCAAGCAACUGUUUAGCAAAAACACAGGUCUCUGCUAAAGCGUAAGCUGAUGUAUAGGGGCUGACGCCUGCCCGGUGCUGGAAGGUUAAGGGGAACACUUAGCGCAAGCGAAGGUGUGAACUUAAGCCCCAGUAAACGGCGGCCGUAACUAUAACGGUCCUAAGGUAGCGAAAUUCCUUGUCAGGUAAGUUCUGACCCGCACGAAUGGCGUAAUGACUUGGGCACUGUCUCAACUGCAAAUCCGGCGAAGUUGUAGUGCGAGUGAAGAUGCUCGCUACCCGCGAUUGGACGGAAAGACCCCGUAGAGCUUUACUGUAGCUUAGCAUUGAAUUCCGGUAUUGUCUGUACAGGAUAGGUGGGAGACUGGGAAACUAGGGCGUCAGCCUUAGUGGAGUCAACCUUGGGAUACCACCCUGACAGUACUGGGGUUCUAACAGGACGCCAUGAAUCUGGUGACUGGACAUUGUUAGGUGGGCAGUUUGACUGGGGCGGUCGCCUCCUAAAAAGUAACGGAGGCGCCCAAAGGUUCCCUCAGAACGGUCGGAAAUCGUUCGUAGAGUGCAAAGGCAGAAGGGAGCCUGACUGCGAGACAUACAAGUCGAGCAGGGACGAAAGUCGGGCUUAGUGAUCCGGUGGUACCUCGUGGGAGGGCCAUCGCUCAACGGAUAAAAGCUACCUCGGGGAUAACAGGCUGAUCUCCCCCAAGAGUCCACAUCGACGGGGAGGUUUGGCACCUUGAUGUCGGCUCGUCGCAUCCUGGGGCUGUAGUAGGUCCCAAGGGUUGGGCUGUUCGCCCAUUAAAGCGGCACGCGAGCUGGGUUCAGAACGUCGUGAGACAGUUCGGUCCCUAUCCGUCGCGGGCGUAGGAAAUUUGAGAGGAGCUGUCCUUAGUACGAGAGGACCGGGAUGGACUGACCUCUGGUGCACCAGUUGUUCCGCCAGGAGCAUGGCUGGGUAGCUAAGUCGGGAAGGGAUAAACGCUGAAAGCAUCUAAGCGUGAAGCCUCCCUCAAGAUGAGAUUUCCCAUAGCAUAAGCUAGUAAGACCCCUUGAAGAACACAAGGUUGAUAGGUCAGAGGUGUAAGUGCGGUAACGUAUUUAGCUGACUGAUACUAAUAGGUCGAGGGCUUGACCU